CAGGACUCGAAAGGCUCCCGUAACCACUGUGAACUUACCUAUAUUCGUUGCCUCGGCGGGUGCCCUGGACCUGUGUCCGGGGCAUUCAGCCCGCCGGCGGCCUACAACUCUGUCUCGCGCGUUGGCAUCUCCGAGUCAUUUUAAACGAGUCA
This 152-nucleotide unclassified non-coding RNA is filed under the name uncultured fungus. RNAcentral describes it as "sequence contains ITS1, 5.8S rRNA gene". The record is from RNAcentral. Lineage: Eukaryota; Fungi.